Molecule: ribosomal RNA, 800 nt
Filed under: uncultured bacterium
Lineage: Bacteria
Description: bacterial SSU rRNA
Rfam family: Bacterial small subunit ribosomal RNA
Source: RNAcentral
AGAGUUUGAUCCUGGCUCAGAACGAACGCUGGCGGCGUGGCUAAGACAUGCAAGUCGAACGGACUAUACAAUUGAGUAAUCGAGCGUAUAGUUAGUGGCGAAAGGGUUAGUAAUAGAUAGGUAACGUACCUUGUGCUUCGGGAUAGCGUCAGAAAGCUUCGGCUUUCUUUCCGAAAGGGGCGGUAAUACCGGAUAAUAUCAUGUAUCGUAUGAUAUAUGCUCAAAGAUUUAUCGGCACUUGAGCGGCCUAUCUCCUAUCAGCUAGUUGGUGAGGUAAUGGCUCACCAAGGCGAUGACGGGUAGCGGGACUGAGAGGUUGACCCGCAACAUCGGGACUGAGACACUGCCCGGACCUCCACGGAGGGCUGCAGUAACGAAUAUUGCGCAAUGGGCGAAAGCCUGACGCAGCGACGCCGCGUGUAGGAGGAAGUCUCUCGGGAUGUAAACUACUGUCAGGGGUAAGAAAGUGCGUUUCGGCGCAUUGAUCUAACCCAAAGGAAGUCACGGCUAACCUCGUGCCAGCAGCCGCGGUAAGACGAAGGUGGCUAGCGUUGUUCGGUGUCACUGGGCUUAAAGCGUAUGUAGGCGGAAAAGUAAGCGUUUUGUGAAAUCCCUCGGCUCAACCGAGGAAUUGCUUGACGAACUGCUUUUCUUGAGGCAAGUAGGGGUGCAUGGAACUCUUGGUGGAGCGGUGGAAUGCGUAGAUAUCAAGAGGAACGCCAAUGGAGAAAUCAGUGCACUGGGCUUGUCCUGACGCUCAGAUACGAAAGCGUGGGGAGCGAACGGGAUUAGAUACCCCG